This is a long non-coding RNA of Esox lucius (northern pike), 2286 nucleotides long. NCBI's taxonomy places the organism in Eukaryota, Metazoa, Chordata, Actinopteri, Esociformes, Esocidae. The record is from Ensembl.
CAAAUAUAGUGACUCAUGACACAGGAUACAUUUUUUUUUAAUUAUUUUGUUCGCCCAGUUGGUCAGUGAUUUGCAGAGAAAACGCUCAUCCAGUAAUUUACUGUAAUCUGCUUUACAUUUCAAGGGUUCAGUUGAGACAUUGUGUGGUAGUUUAGUGGAUGGAAACACUUGUGGUUUCAGACCUGAAGGCCCCUUAACAUGGCAGAAUAACUAGAACACCAAAACCAUGAUUCUAUAGUGACUGAUUCUGAUUGUAUUGUGACUGUACAUAGUAGGAUUCUGAUUGUAUUGUGACUGUACAUAGUAGGAUUCUGAUUGUAUUGUGACUGUACAUAGUAGGAUUCUGAUUGUAUUGUGACUGUACAUAGUAGGAUUCUGAUUGUAUUGUGACUGUACCUAAUAGGUUUGAUUAUUGUAUCGCUGGUUGCAUUAACGUCCAGAGAGGCCAAAGCUGUCACAGUCGCUGGGAGGCAGGACACAAGGCAUUACUUCAUUAGGAUCCCAUAUUAGAGGCAAUGCAGGGCAGCUGCCUCUAACUCAAUCAAUAAAAUGUAUUUAUAAAGCCCUUUUUACAACAGCAGUGCUUUUACAGAGACCCCCAGCCUUAAACCCCAAGAAGCAACUACCUUUGGAGCAAGGGAUGUAACAUUUAAGAGUAUCAUUUUGAGAUGCGAGGUGAUGCAGUCAUUUCUAUUUGUGAAGGAAGUGGAGGAAGGCUUUAUCUUAAUAAGGUUGUUUUUGUUAGCACUACCUUGUUUAACUUUUCUCAGCCUGGAACGAGUCACAGUGGCAAGAGGUAAAGCUGUACUAACUAUUCUGGCUAUGCUAUCGACAGACUCCACUAUGCUAGCAGGCUGGCUAACAGCCUGACCUGCACCAAGAGGGCAUCCCUGCUGUCAGGUCCUGCCUAUCACUCCUAGACAAACAUACAGAGGCAUUUCUUUACACAGGAUAUGACACAAGCAGGAUGUUGUAGGUUUUUAGGCCUCAGUCUAACUUUCUCAGCGGGCAGAAAUUAUACCUAAAUUAAUACUAGAGGGCUUUCGGGUGGCACAUUGUCUGAGUUUGUCUGUAUGUUUUCCCGUGACAUCAAGUGACUUUGGUGUUAAAGGUGUGCACCUCGUCGUUAGACCCUCCCCAUCACAUCACAGGACAUGGGUUUCAGAGAAAAAGACCACAAGCUGAACAUUUUCCACUCGCUUGAGCCAAUCACUGCUCUGCUGCCCUUUAAUGGUGAAGUCGAUCUAGUCACCAUCACGGAAAUACACGCCAGCGACUCUCUGACAACAUCAGACCCUGCUACUCUCCGAUAACAUCAGAACCUGCUACUCAGACAGAUGGACAGGUUGGGGGUUGCUCUCAUCAUAAUCUUAUGCCAACUUGUAGGUGCUGUUUCCUCCAGUCAAGAUGGGAUCUCUGGAUCAGAGGUGGAGCUGAUAGUAAGACCAGGAAACAAUGUGACUCUUUACUGUGACUGCAGGACAUCCACUGGAGUAGAUAUUAUGUGGUAUAGGAACUGCUCUCACAAGCACCAGCCUCCUCUUGUUAUUUCAUCUUACCAGGAUUCUGGUAAAUCCUUAGAAGAAUAUUUUCAAAAUGUUACUCCUCGGUUUACUUUGUUGUGGAACCCUUCUAACAACACCUAUGAUCUACUGAUUGAGAACAUCACUGAAUCUGACCUGGGACUCUACUACUGUGGGACUAUGGAAACUAAGGUGAACAUUGGACAAUCUGUUGAAAAUCAACACUUCUACAGCUAUGGAAAUGUCACCACAAGGCUUUCAUUAGACAUCAGUCCAACCAAGCCCUCCUCCUGCAAUACUGAAGACUGUGGUCUGUGUUGGACUCUGAUGUUCAGUCUGUGUCCUGUGUCUGCGCUCCUCUCCUCUCUCCUCUCCUCCUCCUGUGUUUACUCCUUCUGCAGAAAAAGAAACGCAACAAUGGAGACAGCAGAGGUUCCUCUGAACAGGAUCAACACCACAGGAAGUGGCAGCAGAGAGAAGGAGGAACAAGACCUGUGUUACGCCUCGCUGGAUAUCCGUCAGGGACAGAAGAGACCAAAGAAGAAGAAAGUGCAGAACUCUGACUUCAGUACCUAUUCAGCCAUCAAAUACCAGCAGAGUGUGACCUAAACCAGCCAUCAAUACCAGGAGACAGCCCUUACAGAAAUACAAAUGUUUUUUGUUUAAUUUUAAUGAAAUUAGAGUUCAUACUGUGUAAAAAAACAAACAGUAAAAAAGAGUCUCCACAAUAUUUAGUACAUUUUGCUGUCUUUAUUAACCAAGA